AUUGAACGCUGGCGGCAGGCCUAACACAUGCAAGUCGAGCGGAUGAAGGGAGCUUGCUCCUGGAUUCAGCGGCGGACGGGUGAGUAAUGCCUAGGAAUCUGCCUGGUAGUGGGGGAUAACGUCCGGAAACGGGCGCUGAUACCGCAUACGUCCUGAGGGAGAAAGUGGGGGAUCUUCGGACCUCACGCUAUCAGAUGAGCCUAGGUCGGAUUAGCUAGUUGGUGGGGUAAAGGCCUACCAAGGCGACGAUCCGUAACUGGUCUGAGAGGAUGAUCAGUCACACUGGAACUGAGACACGGUCCAGACUCCUACGGGAGGCAGCAGUGGGGAAUAUUGGACAAUGGGCGAAAGCCUGAUCCAGCCAUGCCGCGUGUGUGAAGAAGGUCUUCGGAUUGUAAAGCACUUUAAGUUGGGGGGAAGGGCAGUAAGUUAAUACCUUGCUGUUUUGACGUUACCAACAGAAUAAGCACCGGCUAACUUCGUG
RNAcentral lists this ribosomal RNA (484 nucleotides) under uncultured bacterium. RNAcentral describes it as "partial 16S ribosomal RNA". It matches the Rfam family "Bacterial small subunit ribosomal RNA", at positions 30 to 507 of the family's 1533-position model. The record is from RNAcentral.